AUGUUGGAUUUAAGACAUACCCCCAAUUCAGUAUCAUCUCAUCUUAACUUAUUAUAUCUACAAAAACCCCAUUUACAAAUAAGAUCACAUUCUGAAGUUCCAAGUGAACUGAAUGAAUUUUUGGAGGACACUAUUCAACUCACUAUAAUUACCUUUAAAACACUCAUGUAUGACUUCCCUGUUGGUUUCUCACUCACAUUCCUUUCUGGACAGAUGCCAGCCCUGCCAUUUCUGCUGAUUCAGCUGCUUUGCCCAGCAACCAAGGAACCAGGUCUGCCCAGCCCUUCCAUCCUUCGAGCGGCACUGGCCCAGCAGAGCAGGACACUAGAACACGGUAGCAGUGGCCCAUGGGAAGAGAUGAGGCCUCAAAAAAUGAAUGCAUCUGGAGACCUAGCCUCCUUCUCCUCUUUGUACCAACCCAACUCCGAAACCUCUGGUACUGCACAGUCCACUGUAGCCCCUCAUUCAUAUACUCAGAGUCACUCUUCUGGCUGUGGCGAGGACAUCCUGUGACAUGAUGCCUAGAGAGUCUGGAAGAAUGUUCUCCAGAACUUUUCCAGCCCUAUCCAACAGAAUUCUUGGGUGGGAACUUGGAGGCACUGGAUAUUAUCUUUAAAUGAAGAGAUCAAAU
RNAcentral lists this long non-coding RNA (631 nucleotides) under Pan troglodytes (chimpanzee). RNAcentral's name for it is "lncRNA (ENSPTRG00000052907.1)". The record is from RNAcentral. Lineage: Eukaryota; Metazoa; Chordata; Mammalia; Primates; Hominidae.